This 1078-nucleotide long non-coding RNA is filed under the name Cairina moschata (Muscovy duck). Its description in RNAcentral is "domestica (muscovy Duck (domestic type)) lncRNA (ENSCMMG00000007087.1)". The record is from RNAcentral. Lineage: Eukaryota; Metazoa; Chordata; Aves; Anseriformes; Anatidae.
AGAGUUUUGUAAAGGACCAGUCACAGAGGCUGAGCAAAGCAGAGAUAAGAGGUAUCAUGUAUGAGAGAGAAUAAAAGGAGAAUAAGGCUAGCAAAACUCUACAUGCAACAGAGCGGAGAAGGGUUUAGAAAAAAUCCUUUGUGCUUGUUAAGAUUUUUGUAAAUCCCAGUCUGCUUGAACAUAGACUCGUCCUUCAGAGAGCAAAAGGGCUGGUGGAGGAAGAAGUGGUUAGAAAAUUACCGUCUUAUAUUAACUCCCCGGAUAGAAAGAAAUUUACUUGUAAAGCUUUCAACAUCCUCAAAGGCAUCUAAUUGUUCAGGACAUACUGAGUAUCUGCACUUACAGAAAUCAAGCCUCAAGUGGAACUCCCCUGAAAGCAAGGCACCAGGAAGCCAAGAUUAGUUUUCAGAAAGUAAGUGGUUUUCAUUUUUUGGUUUCUCAAGGACUCUUUCAAGGGCCAAGCAGAUGGCUGGGAGAUCCACAGAAUGGAAACCUGCAGUUCUAAUGGGGACAGAAAAGUGUGUGUAGAGGGGGUUGUUUGUUUGCAGUUUUUUUAGUUAAAUCAUCUCUGUGUUUGAUAGCUAUUUACGCUCUUUUGCAGCUAAAAUGGUAGUGCAUUUUUGUGGACUCUUCCUUUUCAACAAAGGACUGAGGAAAUUGCCACACUAAUUCUCUGAGCUUCCUAGCAGCUCUCAAGCAUAACCAGAAGAGCAAUUCCCAACUUUAAAAUACAAAGGGAAGCAAAAGAAUAAAAGCACGCAGAGAUCAGUUCAGAAAGGCCCUUGAAAACUUGAGGCAGUUACGGCUAUGUUCCCAUAGCAUUUUGAGUGGAUGCUUGGGCCUGUACUCAAGACCACACCAGCCUUAGCUGCCCUAUGGGUCUUUCAUGAGCUCUUAGGAUCGUGUUAAACUUUUGUGCAGCCGGAAGUGUCAGUCAGCCUGCUGUGCAACUGGAUAGACUGCACCUAGGCCUUGGCAGUUUUGACGUGCAUUGGAGGGGCUCUGUACUUCUGCUACUACAAGACAUGAUGACCGCAGGCAGGCAGAGCACGUGGGGCAGCAGCCUGAGCCUAGUGCA